UAAUGAUGAAAUCAAAACUGAAUUAGCUGGAAUUACCGGCAGAUUCUUCAGUGGUGAGUCUUGGUGUUCUGAAC
RNAcentral lists this small nucleolar RNA (74 nucleotides) under Monopterus albus (swamp eel). The record is from RNAcentral. Lineage: Eukaryota; Metazoa; Chordata; Actinopteri; Synbranchiformes; Synbranchidae.